Molecule: ribosomal RNA, 238 nt
Filed under: uncultured bacterium
Lineage: Bacteria
Description: partial 16S ribosomal RNA
Rfam family: Bacterial small subunit ribosomal RNA
Source: RNAcentral
CGGCGGACGGGUGAGUAACGCGUGGGUAACCUACCCUGUACACACGGAUAACAUACCGAAAGGUAUGCUAAUACGGGAUAAUAUAUUUGAGAGGCAUCUCUUGAAUAUCAAAGGUGAGCCAGUACAGGAUGGACCCGCGUCUGAUUAGCUAGUUGGUAAGGUAACGGCUUACCAAGGCGACGAUCAGUAGCCGACCCGAGAGGGUGAUCGGCCACAUUGGAACUGAGACACGGUCCAA